Molecule: long non-coding RNA, 2937 nt
Organism: Panicum virgatum (switchgrass)
Lineage: Eukaryota; Viridiplantae; Streptophyta; Magnoliopsida; Poales; Poaceae
Exons: 2
Source: RefSeq, a predicted model, not a curated record
GUAGUCAACCUCAUGACCACCACAGAAGCGCCGCCGCCACCCUUCCACCGCCCACAGCUUGCUCCACCGACUCCAGCAAGGGACGCCGACGAGCCUCCACCCCGGAACCACCCCAGCAUCCCAUUUUUGAACUCUGGCGAGUUUGCUAAUGGCACUGUCGCCCCCGCCCUGCCCUCCUUUCUCGUCUCCGGCGGCGUCCCGCCGCCGGAUCCGACCCCGCUGCCACUCCCGCGCUAACUCGUCGCCGGUGCUAGCCCCCGCCGCCUCCGCAGACCAUCCGGUUGUCCACCAACCGCCCGCGGCCGGCGGCGCCCCCGCCGCCUUGCCGCACCGCCGGCUUGAACCACCACCACCGCCCGCUACCUUGCCGCCCAAAGCUCCUUCUAGGUCCGCCGGAGGCAGGUAGGCUUCCUCCGGUCCUCCCCAAACCCCGAACGAUAAUAAGUCACUGAAGCUCGCCGGAGUCGAGGAAGACACGCUUGUUGUCGUUGGCAAAAAAAUUCGAGUGCGUGGAGACAAUAUUUCUUUUUUUCUUGACACCUCUCAUCUGGGUACAGCUGUAGCAUCUGUUCAUACACGCACACACGUACCCCCUACCCUACACACGCACACUACACGUGUACAAUCAGACCUACAACUACACACAGAUAUGAAGAUCGCGUCCUUCUAAAGAUCACAGGAAACCUCCAAGGCUCCGUGUGCGACGGGCGCAGUCCCUUGUGGCACUAAGCGUGAGAGGCAACGGAGAUUAUUAAAGAUACUGAGAACAGUACCUGGUGAGGCACGCGAGUUGCGAUUGUCAGGAAGAACCCGCGCCCGGCCGCUCGCGCACCUGCGAGCGAACCAACUGAGCUAUCGCUCGUCCUCGUGGAGACAAUAUUUCACUCGAGUGUAAUAUAGAUUUCCCGUAGUUUAGUAUAAUAGUUAGACAACCCUAAUCCCCAAUUCCAAUCUCCCCCAUCUCAAUCUCUGCUGCUGCUUCCCGCCGCCUCCCGCUUCCUAUCCGUGAUGCCUGAGCCCACCGCGGCCGCCACCUCCCGCCGAUCCGCGAUGCCUGAACCAACCGCAGCCGCCACCUCCCGCCGAUCCGCGAUGCCUGAACCAACCGCAGCCGCCACCUCCCGCCGAUCCGCCAUGCCCGAGCCCAGAGCUGCCUCCUCUCCAUGCCACUGAUCAUCCUGCUUGGGUCCUCUUCGACACGCUACCGCACAUCGGGCGCUGCGACAAUGCCGCCGCCGCCGCUCGAGCCCUUACGAGCGCCGGCGACCUAAUCGAGGUGUCUCUGACGCUCUCCGAACCGCCUGCCCUCUCCCAGUGUUUCGUCCACUGCCCCGGCCUGGCGGACGACGUCUUCAUCGGACAGCCCCGGGUCACGGGUGCGGAGGGCGCUCUCCUCCUUAUGCGCGUGAUCUUCGCCGAUCGCAACGGCCAAGGGAAGUUGACCGACGUCUUUGUCUACAGGGCCGGCCCUGGGGAGCCAUUGCUUCAACUCCUCCCGCGCCCCUACCCAGAUGGCAUCUACUAUAGGUGUAUCGGCAUCUUGCCCUGUGGCGACGCCAGGAGCAGGCACUAUCUCGUCGUCAUCCCCGAAAUGCGAUUUCAGGCUCGUCGGUGGGAGGGAUAUCAUCUCCGCGUCUAUUCAUCAGAGACCGAGUCCUGGAGCACCAAGGUAGCCCAGGUGGCUGAUGACAUGGAGACAGACUACUGUAAUUUGGCCUCUCAUGAACCGACCAAGGUGGUUUCCUUUGGAAGAGGCUUGUUGGGCUGGAUCGAUCUUCGAUUUGGUAUUCUGCUAUGCAAUGUGGUUGAAAAGGAUCCUGAGGUUCGUUUAAUCCAGUUGCCUGAAUUGCUGCCCACCAACAGGGCGGACUUCGGUGUGGAUUUAGAUGGUGACAUGCCGUCUCUGCGUCAAAUUCGGGAUGUUACCUACAAAAAUGGUCGUAUCAGGAUGAUCGAGGUUGAAUUUCCGGAUCUGGAUGACAUCAAUAUGGACUUUAGGUGGAGGGCCACAGUAUUUGAGACGAUGGCUUAAGCAAAUAACUGGUACAAGGAUUGCACUGUUGACUCUUCAAUUAUCUUCCUUGGUGACUCAUAUAACGAUUACACGUUUUGUGAAAUGCUUGGCUGCAAUGACAAGCAGCUAACUCUGAACACGGUGGUGAGUUUAGCCCCUACUUUGGACAUGUGCAACGACAAUGUUUUCUACAUGAUGUCCAAGCGGAAUGCUAAGGACCCAAAUGCCUGGGUGCUUGCUAUCAACACCAGAGACAGCACACUGGAGAAAGUUGUACCAUUUUCUGAUGAAAGGAUGUUCUAUUUUGAUCCCUCCUACCAGCAAUGUGCCUUCUCCAAGUUUCUUGGAAAGGCUGCAGAUUGAUUACAAAUUAGAGGGAAGAACAGGGCAAGUUACAUGGUAGUAGGGGUGUUGCCAUUAGCGCAAAUGCAACCUAAUAUGCAACUUCAGGCAUGUAAACCCUUUUAAGUAUUAAGUUUGAGAACAAUUGUGAAGUGGACAUUUUCUCCAAGAUGGCAGAAGGUCACAAUAGCAAUUGGAGCUUUAGGUACUUCAGACAUUAGUUGUCUCUCCCUUCAACACCAUCGUCCAUUGACAAGAUCUUCUCUCCUAACAUUGCAUGGAAGUCGUAAGGCACUUUUAGUUCUCCGGAAGUCAUUCCGACUUCUCAAUUUGGUCUGAAUUAUUUGAUAAAUUUAUUCCAUAUCCAGGUAGAUAGCACUGCAAUGUAUUUGGAACUCAAUGGCAGCACUGCUGAUUUUACACUAUAUAUUUAUCCAUAGUGGAUGACAUAAAAUUAACCUAGCUUUAUCUGUUUUGGGGAAUUGUGUUUAAGGUAAUUUUUAUGAUGUUUACAAUAAUAAACUGUGUGUAGGAUAGUUGAAUUCUGAUAUAUUGAGAUAACUGAACUACCAUUGAGCUUA